GCCCCCGGCUGCCUUUUUUUAAAGUAAAUGUGGGGGGAAAUGUUCUUAAAUGAGCUAAUUCAAGACUGGCUAUAUAACUCAGUUUUAAAGAACUCGCGCAGCUGGUAUUGAGGCCCUAGAUUGUGUGGUCCAUAGACAGGAAGAAUGGAGCCCUGUCAGCUGAGGGUGGUGUCCUGGCCCCAGCAGGGCCUGUUUGCCCGUGGUGUAGGAGCUGGGAGCUGUCAUGGGCCUCCUGACCUGACUCACUCGGUGUUAGUAUCUGUUGCUCAGGAAGCUCACUUUCUUCCCUCAGGAAAAAAAGACAAGGAGAAAAAGGAGAAGAAGAAAGGAAAAAAGACCUCAGUCAAAGACCCUGACUCGCUAGUCAAGAAGAAAAAGAAGAAAAAGAAGAAGACAGCAGAGCCUGCCGUGUGAGGCCAGCACAUAGAACAGAGUCUUGUCAGAGUGUGGCCGUCCCCAGACCUCUGACCUGGCCAGUGUGAGUUGGGACUGGACUUUUUAACUUACCCUCCCUCAACAGAAGAUGAUGGCCGGCUCCAGCUUUUGCCGCC
This is a long non-coding RNA of Onychomys torridus (southern grasshopper mouse), 551 nucleotides long. RefSeq lists it as uncharacterized. The transcript has 3 exons. Lineage: Eukaryota; Metazoa; Chordata; Mammalia; Rodentia; Cricetidae. The record is from RefSeq and is a predicted model, not a curated record.